CGGAUCGCAUGUAUUGUAUUAUUAAAGUUCCAACGGUAAAGAUGAGUAUGCGUCCCAUUAGCUAGAUGGUAAGGUAACGGCUUACCAUGGCAAUGAUGGGUAGGGGUCCUGAGAGGGAGAUCCCCCACACUGGUACUGAGACACGGACCAGACUCCUACGGGAGGCAGCAGUGAGGAAUAUUGGACAAUGGGCGCAAGCCUGAUCCAGCCAUGCCGCGUGCAGGAAUAAGGUCCUAUGGAUUGUAAACUGCUUUUAUACAGGAAGAAACACACCCUCGUGAGGGUACUUGACGGUACUGUAUGAAUAAGGACCGGCUAACUCCGUG
Molecule: ribosomal RNA, 326 nt
Filed under: uncultured bacterium
Lineage: Bacteria
Description: bacterial SSU rRNA
Rfam family: Bacterial small subunit ribosomal RNA
Source: RNAcentral